UUUUAUGUUUCAUCUAAACAAGGCCAUCUUCAACAACCUGCCCGUCCCCUUCCUCCUCUCAUGGCAAGGAAUUCAACAGAGGAGGAGCUCAUGGCAAGACGGCGUGUAUGGUACAAACUGCCCGAUCCCUCCGGGUGGCAAUUUCACUUACAACAUGCAAUAGGACCAAAUUGGGAGCUACUACUACUUCCCUUCCCUUUUAUUCCACAAGGCAGCCGGUGGUUAUGGUGGCAUCAGGGUUCUUAGCAGACCAAGGAUCCCGGUUCCAUUUGACCCCCUGCCGGUGAUUUUCACCAUAUUGGCCGGUGACUGGUUCAAACUCAAUCACACUGACUUGAAAGGCAUUUUAGACAGUGGAAAUGACCUGUCAUUCCCUGAUGGGCUUCUUAUUAAUGGACAAGGCUCGAAUGGCAAUAGAUUUACACAGUCAAUGGUGAAUAUUUGUUGGCAUAUUUGUAUCUUUUUAUAAUUGAAUCUUUAGCUCAGACUGCUGGUAUCCAGUUGGAUGAUUGAUUUGCAUUAUAAUUUGUUCUUGUAUA
This is a long non-coding RNA of Panicum virgatum (switchgrass), 539 nucleotides long. RefSeq lists it as uncharacterized. The record is from RefSeq and is a predicted model, not a curated record. The transcript is spliced from 3 exons. Lineage: Eukaryota; Viridiplantae; Streptophyta; Magnoliopsida; Poales; Poaceae.